This 543-nucleotide long non-coding RNA is filed under the name Apteryx rowi (Okarito brown kiwi). RNAcentral describes it as "lncRNA (ENSARWG00000000582.1)". Lineage: Eukaryota; Metazoa; Chordata; Aves; Apterygiformes; Apterygidae. The record is from RNAcentral.
CCACAGUGAACAUGAUGGCUUUAAAAUCAAGUAAAAUAUGACUGCCCCAGUUAUGAGCAACAUCUUCAACAAUCAAGCUGAAUCCUUCAAAAAUCGUCACCUGUUUCCAAAACACUGGAGCCAAUGCAAGAGGUCAGAUACCUGUGCAGGAGUGUCACUCCAAGUCUGAACAUGAAUGCCAUGGAUUCCAGGAUCAUUCCAGUGCCUGCCCUGAUGACUUUGCUCACACCUGGAUCUGCAAAGGGCCAUAGACCUGUGGCACCUCCAUUCCCAAUGGAAAAAGGAAGGUGACUGAGAUGUUGGUGAACUGGGCCUUUGGAGGAGGACUGAAACAGUGAAAGUUCCACUACCCCCAGCUAAGUCAUUCCAGAUGGACAGUGGGGAGGAACUGUAUAGAUGUUACAGGCAUUUUCACUGCAAAUUCUCCUGGAUGCAUCUAACCUGUUAUCGAGCACCUCCCUGUCAGAUAUUCUCAACUAAGUCUUGAUCUCCUCUUUUACUAAAGCAUGUAUAAAAUACCCUCAUCUAUUAGCUUCCUAUCUG